Molecule: long non-coding RNA, 432 nt
Organism: Glycine soja
Lineage: Eukaryota; Viridiplantae; Streptophyta; Magnoliopsida; Fabales; Fabaceae
Exons: 3
Source: RefSeq, a predicted model, not a curated record
CCGAAAUGUUGAUCACCACCCAGCUUUUGUUGUUGUAUAUAACAUGGAUACAACUGAAAUUGUAUCAUUUUAUCAGAAUUCACCAGACGAGCUUUAUCUGUUGUUUGAGCAGUUCUGUGACCACUUCCAUGCAACAUCAAGGAAUUCAAUGUAUAUGAAUUUCAUAUCUUCUCAUUCAAAUAAUAUCCACGCACUGGAACAGCUCCGGAGCAUUAAAGAUAAGGCAAGCAGCUCUGCACAGUUUUGCAGUUUGUGAAGAAUAUUUUUGAAUCAAGAUUCAUUGUACGUACACAUUACUUUUGAAUCAAGAAUAUUUUGAUAGAAAAGCUUUAUACUCUAUGGUCACAUCCCAGUGGCAAAAAUAUUUGCUUAGUAAUAUUCUAAUUGAUUAAAAAAAAGUUAUAGGUUGUAUACUUGUAAUUGCAUUUAAUU